Molecule: small nucleolar RNA, 65 nt
Organism: Hippocampus zosterae (dwarf seahorse)
Lineage: Eukaryota; Metazoa; Chordata; Actinopteri; Syngnathiformes; Syngnathidae
Product: small nucleolar RNA SNORD18
Exons: 1
Source: RefSeq, a predicted model, not a curated record
GCAAAAUGAUGAUACUCCACUUCUGGUCCGUGUUUCUGAAUCCUGAUAAAUUGGAAGUCCUGAGC